This 713-nucleotide small RNA is filed under the name Pan troglodytes (chimpanzee). RNAcentral's name for it is "retained intron". Lineage: Eukaryota; Metazoa; Chordata; Mammalia; Primates; Hominidae. The record is from RNAcentral.
UUCCGAGGAGGCGGUGCUGGGGCGGGCGCAGGACUGCAGGCUGGGGCUCCGCUCCCCCGCGGGAGCCCGCGCGUGGUUCCCAGCGAAGUCCCCGCGCGGCUGGGCCCAGCGUGAGUAUUCUCCGCCCGCUGUCCUCCCCCUGGAGGCGGCAGCGCCCGUUUAUUUGAGGAGGAUGAGGCUGUCACUACUACAGUUGGGACUGUUUCAUACUCCUUGCUCUUGUGCUAUGCCAGGGGGUACUGUCUAACCCACAAGUCUCUGCCAGGAAUGUUGCCGUCCACACUGGAGUGUAAGACACCUGCGGAGCUCGUCUGUGGGGCUCAUGUUGGCUGAGGCUCUGAACUACAGAAUUGCAAACAACCAAGGGAACGCCCCAGGCCCCCAAGCUUCUAAUGUGAGGAAAAACACGGAAUGACAAGUGUGGGAAAGAGCAAGCACUAAAUUACUGUCAGAAAAAUAAACGGAGUAGCACAGUGCUGCUCGGUGAUUUACGGGGGCAAUUAGUCACCACCCCACGGCGCUGCUGAGGACAGCACAGCAGCAGACAAGUCAGGCCCACGAGGAAGAAGAGGCUUUGCACUGCUCUCCAGACAACUUUUCAAACAACAAGAGAGGAUAUUUGAGCACAUUAGGUUUUGUGUCUUCAUUCUGGGUACCUACUCUUCAUAUUAUUCUACCAACUUAAUACAUAAACAUAUUUUUAGCACAAUAUG